RNAcentral lists this unclassified non-coding RNA (349 nucleotides) under soil metagenome. RNAcentral describes it as "partial contains 5.8S ribosomal RNA, internal transcribed spacer 2, and large subunit ribosomal RNA". The stretch from base 1 to 120 matches the Rfam family "5.8S ribosomal RNA", at positions 35 to 154 of the family's 154-position model. The record is from RNAcentral.
GAUGAAGAACGUAGCGAAAUGCGAUAAGUAAUGUGAAUUGCAGAAUUCAGUGAAUCAUCGAAUCUUUGAAUGCACAUUGCGCCCGGCAGUAAUCUGCCGGGCAUGCCUGUCCGAGCGUCAUUUCACCCCUCGAGCCGCUUUUAGUGGAUCGGUGUUGGGGCACUACGGUAAAACGUAGGCCCUGAAAUGAAGUGGCGGUCCCGCCGCGGUGCCCCCAUGCGUAGUAACGUUUAGUCUCGCAUCGGGUCCCGGCGGAGGCCUGCCGUCAAGACUAUUUAUUCUCAGAAUAGUUUGACCUCGGAUCAGGUAGGGUUACCCGCUGAACUUAAGCAUAUCAAUAAGCGGAGGA